CCGGCUUCAACCGGUUGUCUUUCUUUCGCGUCACCUUGGCGGAGGUCAGACAGUGGGAGGCGGCCGGGAUCCGGGGUGUGCUUCCAGAAUGUCUCUCGUAACCUCAAAACUGUUGCUAGAUCUGGAGCAGUGCUCAAGAUAUAACACCCAAUGUCUGACAAGAAAGGAGACUACAGAAAAAGAUGUAGACAUUUAUUUCUAAGUGAAAAACUCAGUAAUUUUAUUUGCUCAGAGGUGGCUGUGAAUCUAUGAAGGGAAAAUACAGCAUGAAAAAUUUUUUUUUUAAAAAAUCAAGAAGUCAGCAAGGUGGUGUUUAGAUGACCAUCUAUGUGGCGCACAUGCCAUCCCAGCUCGAGAGAAGAAUCUGGGCCAAGCUUAGCUUUUCCUGGUGGAAAGACCUACAGUAUUUUCUUUGAAGCCAAAUUCAUAUGAAAUGUGCUCAAUAGUUGUCAUUUGAUUAUGUAAGGCAAUCACGGUAUAACGAAUCACUACACCGAUCACUGAAAGGCUUCAACGUAUCUGCUUGCUGAUGGUCUUUAUUGAGGUCAGCAUUUUCUUUUUUGACAAAACAUCCUGGGGAAAUUGUAAUGGUUUAAUUCUUUUUUUCUGCUCUAUUUAAGAAUAGUGCCAUCAUGUGUCAAUUCUAAAGAUGACGUGAUUAAUAAAGCUUGAAUCCUGGAAAAGAAAAUCAUUUUGGAGCAAAAAAAUCAAGUAAAAGAAUGGAAGUGCAAAGCUGAUUUAAUACGAGAACAUUCUUUAGUUUAAAGCA
Molecule: long non-coding RNA, 769 nt
Organism: Rhinolophus ferrumequinum (greater horseshoe bat)
Lineage: Eukaryota; Metazoa; Chordata; Mammalia; Chiroptera; Rhinolophidae
Exons: 5
Source: RefSeq, a predicted model, not a curated record